Molecule: ribosomal RNA, 431 nt
Filed under: uncultured bacterium
Lineage: Bacteria
Description: partial 16S ribosomal RNA
Rfam family: Bacterial small subunit ribosomal RNA
Source: RNAcentral
AACGAACGCUGGCGGCAGGCUUAACACAUGCAAGUCGAACGCCCCGCAAGGGGAGUGGCAGCCGGGUGAGUAACGCGUGGGAACAUACCCUUUCCUGCGGAAUAGCUCCGGGAAACUGGAAUUAAUACCGCAUACGCCCUACGGGGGAAAGAUUUAUCGGGGAAGGAUUGGCCCGCGUUGGAUUAGCUAGUUGGUGGGGUAAAGGCCUACCAAGGCGACGAUCCAUAGCUGGUCUGAGAGGAUGAUCAGCCACAUUGGGACUGAGACACGGCCCAAACUCCUACGGGAGGCAGCAGUGGGGAAUAUUGGACAAUGGGCGCAAGCCUGAUCCAGCCAUGCCGCGUGAGUGAUGAAGGCCUUAGGGUUGUAAAGCUCUUUCACCGAUGAAGAUAAUGACGGUAGUCGGUGAAGAAGCCCCGGCUAACUUCGUG